RNAcentral lists this ribosomal RNA (497 nucleotides) under uncultured bacterium. Its description in RNAcentral is "partial 16S ribosomal RNA". It matches the Rfam family "Bacterial small subunit ribosomal RNA", at positions 28 to 507 of the family's 1533-position model. The record is from RNAcentral.
GAUGAACGCUGGCGGCGUGCCUAAUACAUGCAAGUCGAGCGAACAGACGAGGAGCUUGCUCCUUUGACGUUAGCGGCGGACGGGUGAGUAACACGUAGGUAACCUACCUAUAAGACUGGGAUAACUUCGGGAAACCGGAGCUAAUACCGGAUAAUAUUUCGAACCGCAUGGUUCGAUAGUGAAAGAUGGCUUUGCUAUCACUUAUAGAUGGACCUGCGCCGUAUUAGCUAGUUGGUAAGGUAACGGCUUACCAAGGCAACGAUACGUAGCCGACCUGAGAGGGUGAUCGGCCACACUGGAACUGAGACACGGUCCAGACUCCUACGGGAGGCAGCAGUAGGGAAUCUUCCGCAAUGGGCGAAAGCCUGACGGAGCAACGCCGCGUGAGUGAUGAAGGUCUUCGGAUCGUAAAACUCUGUUAUUAGGGAAGAACAAACGUGUAAGUAACUGUGCGCGUCUUGACGGUACCUAAUCAGAAAGCCACGGCUAACUACGUG